RNAcentral lists this long non-coding RNA (3366 nucleotides) under Equus asinus (donkey). RNAcentral's name for it is "lncRNA (ENSEASG00005038573.1)". The record is from RNAcentral. Lineage: Eukaryota; Metazoa; Chordata; Mammalia; Perissodactyla; Equidae.
UGACUUGAGGGGGCCCUGCACCAGGCACUGCCCAUGGGUGUCCGGUGGGAGGCAGUAAGUCUGACCCAUGGGGCUCCACUCGGAAGCCUUCGACCAGGGGAGUGUGGUCCUAGCCCCUGUCCCCUAGGCGGAAGGCGGGUGGAGUGUCUCAGUGGUGUCUGUAGCUGGGUCCUUCCCUUCGGCCUGGAGGCAGCUCCCCUGACGUUUCCGGAGCUUGCUGUGUCCCCUCCACUGGGCCAUCAGGGUUUACAGAUGGUGGCCCUUCUCUUGGGCUCCGGAAUCCUCACCUGGUGCCCCCUUAGCCUCUGUGCUCAGGAACCUCACCUGUAAACAGGGUGGGCGAGCAAGGGUUAGCACGUGGCCUUUCACGGACUCUCCUCGUCACCAGGGCCUGGCGCCAGCUCUUCUCAGGGGAGAGUCUGCAGUGCUGUUCAGCACUCCCACCACAGAAAUGCCCAGAAUCCUUUACUGGUUCAGAGAACAUUUAAAACAGGCCCCCAGUGUCAGCUGAAUAUAGCCUUGCACUGCAAUCAAGCCACCUAGGGAUCUGUGAUGGAGUAUUCCAGAACUGGGUAGGGAGGCGGCUCUGACUCUCCUCUCAGGCCCUGGGGGGGUGGGGGGUGGACCUUGAGCAUCCAUUCAGUCCCACUCACAGCACUGCUCCGCUGGUGGGCGGGUCAUGGGUGGCCCAGCAGCAGGACGAACAGGUUUCCGUCACAGGGCCCGUGCUGGUCACUGCAAGGCAGGCCAGAAACCUGUUUCCACAGGGACACGCCCAUCACCACGGUGUGCAGCAAGCAGUCAGCCGAGCCAGCCGCCAGCCUAGGACUGUGGGAACGACUGUGCCAGGAGGGAUCGGGCUGGGUGGCAGAGCCACAUGAGGGCAUCAACCUGUGCCCCAGGCUCCACCCUGAGGGUUGUAGGCCGAGCCCAGGCACCAAGAGCGCAGCUGUGCAGUCAGGCCGCAGCGGGUGCUGAUAUGACCCAGGAUGGGCCAGAGCUUUUCUAGGCAGGCUGGCUGGCGGUGUGUCCACGAAGGGGUCGCCAGGAUUCGUAAUUCAAGAGCUGUGGCUGCAUUGGGUGGGUGCGGCGCGCAGUGGUGGGCACUCACGACGCGCUCAGCACCCGUGACUAGAGCCAAGACAGAAGAGGCGGGAGCCAGACCGUGCUUAGUGUUUUAUUUCAUAAAACAAGCCAUGCAGUCGACCCUCUAACACGUACGAGCAUCCUUCCCGUUCCCACCGCUCCCGUCAGCCUUCAGCCUGCCUUCAGUGUCCUCCAACCUCCAACCCUCGACUUCCCUUGACAAGUCCAUACCUUCCAAACAUCCUAAUAAUGAAUAAAUGUUAAAUAUUGAAUUUUACUAUUACAGAAAGGGGGGCUAGAAAAGUGUUGUUUCACUCGGUGCAGAGGACUGCCACGCCACGCUCGUAGAAGCUGCGAGGGUCUUCCUUGGUGGCAAUUUCAAAGUCCACUGUGAAGAUGAGGUCUGCGCGGGUGAAGUUCAGGUAGACGGGUAAGGUCACCUGCGAGGAGGAGACGGGCGCACGGUCGACGUUGGGCCGAGCGGCGGCCCGGGGGGCGUGGUGAUGGAGGGCUUUAUGCCGAGCUCCCUGACCACGAAGGACGGGACGGAGCCACUUACCACAUUAGCCUUCUUCUCCGCAUUGGUCUGCUUGACCCAGCGCAGCUGUGUUAGAGGAAGGACCGUGGAGAUGGCAUUGGAGAGCGACAGCUUGUUGUUAUUGCACGUGGCCCCCUGGAGCUUCAAACCUGGGAGCAGGAAGCCAAAACCCAUCGGCCAGGGAAACAACAGCUAGGCCAACCCCCCGGUCCCGGGGCUCUCAGGGCGGACCAAGUGCCCAGCUCUGACUAGCAUGUGAGGACCGCCAGCCACCUGUGAGAACGUGUGCUGGCCCAGUGGGGCCGGGAGCAGGGAAGGGGAACUUCAGGGAAGCCCAGCCAGAGGCGCUGAGUCUGCAUGUUCUCUGAUCCCAACGCACCUGUGACUCCAAAGCUGCAGGCGUCGAGGGUGGCACUCUGGGAGGUGGUGACGUUGACUUCCAGGCAGAGCUCCUCCAGGGACCAGCUGUUGGCCUGGGCCACGUACUGCCUGGUGGCGGUGAUGUACGCCUCAGGUACAAACAGGCCGCCCAGGCACACGUGGAUGUUCUGUGGGAGGAAGCAGCCCCAGCUCCUUGGCACCGCCAGAGGCAGCCGCCAGGGAGAUAUUCUGCAGCUGUUUGAUCCUCUCGCUGAAGUCGGACACCCACUGGAUGACGGUCAUGCCGGCAGGCACUGUGUAGUGAGACCAGCUCCGGGGCAGGAUUCCUGCAAGCCAGGCGGGCCCGGCGCGUCAGUCCCCACCGUCCCCCACAGAUGGGCUGAGGCUGCUGGGGCUCACCUGCAUCUCCAGCUGUGCUCACACACGCAAGCCCUUCCCCCCUCCCCGGCUGCAUGUCCCGGAUGGACUGCCAUCACCUCUGCAUCUGUUCUUUGCUCAGUUCCGUGUAACUGACGGCUGCGUCUGGGGCGCCAAUGACUCCCAAGGAACACCAAAGCCACAAACUCCCAUCACACAAGUGGCUCAGUGUCACUAGCAAUUCCUGCUCUUGGAGCCGAUGGGAGACACCUGGGGGCUCCUUGCGCCUUUGGACUCGAGCCCCCUACCCCUCCACUUUUCUUCAGUCCUGGCUCCCCCCCUAAAAACUGUAGAAGUUGUGUAAAAAUUUUAGUAAACGUCAGUGACCAGCAUAUAAUAAAAACAAGUCCUUGGGCAUUUCUAAGCCUGCCCCCAGGUAAGGGCACCGAGCUGCUCUCAGAGGGAAUCUGUUUGGAAGGAAAUGCCUGGCCUGGGACCUGUCAACACUCUGAAGAAUUGCGGCCGCCGGCCCCCAGCAAUCCUGCUCUCAGUGCAGUGAGGGGGACUGCCGAGGGCGGGUGAGGCCGGGGCCGGGCCCCCGGGGCUGAGCCCCCAGGCACACGGGAGGACCAACACCUCAUUCAGUCCCAAUCAAAGUGCACCUUUCACCAGCUCGUUGAUAAGUGUACGCAGGUAGUUGGUCUGUUUCUUCUUCCCUUCACACACUUGAACGACGUCAGCAAGAUCCUGGCGGACGUCCUGAAGUAACUUUGCUCCCAUCUUCACCUCUCUCUCGAAGAAUCGGAACAAAGGAUCCUAAAAUUGUUCAAAGAGAAGGGAAGGCCAGGGUGAAGGGAAGAGCGGUUAGAAAGAGGUCCCUUCUGCAGAAGAAAGAAUCAGGCAAACAGAAGUAAUUCAAGCUCAGGAGCCCCAGGAUCCACAACCCGGUCCAGAUCACGCCCAGCUGCACCAGACUACUGUCUUGGACUUGAUCUCGUAAGAAG